RNAcentral lists this long non-coding RNA (252 nucleotides) under Lathyrus oleraceus (garden pea). RNAcentral describes it as "Pisum sativum (pea) long non-coding RNA (PSAT_LNC009693)". The record is from RNAcentral. Lineage: Eukaryota; Viridiplantae; Streptophyta; Magnoliopsida; Fabales; Fabaceae.
UUAGUCCCAAGUCAAUGAUUAUAUUCAUGGUUUUGGAUAUGCCUUUGGUCCUGGUCAUCUGAACAACCAAACCCCCUGUGUUUCAAGCCACUUUCUGGUCAAGCCAUUAGUUCAUGGACACUGUAUCAAAACCCUAACCUUAUGGUCUCAUUUGAUGGCCUUGUUCAUGUACAUUAUCAAUCAAGUUAUUUUUCAAAAGUCCAACAUCCAAGUCAUAAAACAAAAAAAAUUGGAAACCAACUUCAAACCAUU